This 465-nucleotide ribosomal RNA is filed under the name Vreelandella stevensii. RNAcentral describes it as "partial 16S ribosomal RNA". It matches the Rfam family "Bacterial small subunit ribosomal RNA", at positions 338 to 795 of the family's 1533-position model. Lineage: Bacteria; Pseudomonadati; Pseudomonadota; Gammaproteobacteria; Oceanospirillales; Halomonadaceae. The record is from RNAcentral.
CCUACGGGCGGCAGCAGUGGGGAAUAUUGGACAAUGGGGGCAACCCUGAUCCAGCCAUGCCGCGUGUGUGAAGAAGGCCCUCGGGUUGUAAAGCACUUUCAGUGAGGAAGAACGCCUGGUGGUUAAUACCCAUCAGGAAAGACAUCACUCACAGAAGAAGCACCGGCUAACUCCGUGCCAGCAGCCGCGGUAAUACGGAGGGUGCGAGCGUUAAUCGGAAUUACUGGGCGUAAAGCGCGCGUAGGUGGCUUGAUAAGCCGGUUGUGAAAGCCCCGGGCUCAACCUGGGAACGGCAUCCGGAACUGUCAAGCUAGAGUGCAGGCGAGGAAGGUAGAAUUCCCGGUGUAGCGGUGAAAUGCGUAGAGAUCGGGAGGAAUACCAGUGGCGAAGGCGGCCUUCUGGACUGACACUGACACUGAGGUGCGAAAGCGUGGGUAGCAAACAGGAUUAGAUACCCUUGUAGUC